This 378-nucleotide ribosomal RNA is filed under the name uncultured bacterium. RNAcentral describes it as "bacterial SSU rRNA". It matches the Rfam family "Bacterial small subunit ribosomal RNA", at positions 771 to 1124 of the family's 1533-position model. The record is from RNAcentral.
AGCCAAUAGAUACCCGGGUAGUCCUGGCCCUAAACGUUGAGGACUAGGUAGUAGCCCCGGGUAUGGGGUUACUGCCGGAGCGAAAAAGUGCUAAAGUCCUCCGCCUGGGGAGUAUGGUCGCGAGGCUGAAACUCAAAGGAAUUGACGGGGGGCUCACACAAGCGGUGGAGCAUGUGGCUUAAAUUCGAGGCUACGCGAAGAACCUUAUCCCGGACUUGACAUGUGCGAAAGCGCCUGCAGGUAGGACCCGGAAACGGGGACGAACGGUACCCAACCCGGAAGCAGGCACAGGUGCUGCAUGGCUGUCGUCAGCUCGUGUCGUGAGAUGUCGGGUUAAGUCCCAUAACGAGCGAAACCCUUACCCUCAGUUGCCACCCG